This 52-nucleotide microRNA precursor is filed under the name Podarcis lilfordi (Lilford's wall lizard). The record is from RNAcentral. Lineage: Eukaryota; Metazoa; Chordata; Lepidosauria; Squamata; Lacertidae.
AUACAUACACAUACACACACGAUUGUGUGUGUGUGUGUGUGUGUGUGUGUAU